This is a small nucleolar RNA of Nymphaea colorata (pocket water lily), 72 nucleotides long. RefSeq annotates it as small nucleolar RNA R160. NCBI's taxonomy places the organism in Eukaryota, Viridiplantae, Streptophyta, Magnoliopsida, Nymphaeales, Nymphaeaceae. The record is from RefSeq and is a predicted model, not a curated record. The transcript has a single exon.
AGCAAAAUGAUGAGUGGAAGUUCUGAAUUCAAUGUUGAGAUGCAUUUUGGUCUUCAAAGUUCUCUGAUUGCU